Molecule: long non-coding RNA, 710 nt
Filed under: Vombatus ursinus (common wombat)
Lineage: Eukaryota; Metazoa; Chordata; Mammalia; Diprotodontia; Vombatidae
Description: lncRNA (ENSVURG00010001770.1)
Source: RNAcentral
AUGUACCAGUCAGAUUCCUCCAGAGGAACGACAGUCAGCACAGUCUUAGACUUUGAGCAACUUCAGGCUGAGGUGGAGAAUGAACAAAGCCAGCUGACCAUGCUGGACAGGAAGUUACAACAGUUUCUGCUUCAGGCUCUCCUGGGGCUCCUCCAGAGUGAGCAGGAUCUGCUGGAAUUAGAAGACAUGCUAGAACAGAGUUUAUACACUGGGGUACCCCCACAGAAGGUGAAGGGCAUGACAGGCGAUAUCCUAAGUAACCUACAAGACAGGAAUGGACAACUUGUGGAGGAACUAGCAGGGGCAUUCCUCUAUCUCCUUGGGGCUCGGAAGGGAAAGAAAGAUGAUGGGACCAGGGGGGGGGGGGGGGGGGGCGGAGUAGACCAGGGACAGUAACACUCAGAAAACAACACCCUUUCAUCUCUUAUAUGAGGUGCUUGGGAUUUUAGAUUAAGCUUUUCUUUUGAAAACAACAACAAAAAACCCCUCAAAUCCUCUGUGCAUUUUUAUCCUUACAUUGUCCCUAUAAGCUGGAAAGGAGACAGGUAAUCACCUCCCUCUUUCAUUGAUGGAGAAACAAAUGCCCAGAGGGGAAGUGGCUUGCCCAAAGCCAUACAUACAUACUGCAUUGGCAGAGCCCAUUCCUGUGAUCCCUAGUCAGCCAUCUCACCUUCAUAUGGCACUGACUCCUCUUUGAAAAUCCAUCAAUG